Molecule: long non-coding RNA, 123 nt
Organism: Telopea speciosissima
Lineage: Eukaryota; Viridiplantae; Streptophyta; Magnoliopsida; Proteales; Proteaceae
Exons: 4
Source: RefSeq, a predicted model, not a curated record
ACAACUACGACAUUACUCAGCAAUUCUUGGAUGAAAUGGUCUUCAAUGGAGUGUUCCCAGAUUCAAAGUCUUAUAAUCUCUUGGUUCAAUUCUUGGUUAAGAGAAGGAAGCAAAGGGAAGCUU